This is a long non-coding RNA of Lemur catta (Ring-tailed lemur), 247 nucleotides long. RefSeq lists it as uncharacterized. The transcript is spliced from 3 exons. The record is from RefSeq and is a predicted model, not a curated record. Lineage: Eukaryota; Metazoa; Chordata; Mammalia; Primates; Lemuridae.
CCGGGAGUAGACCUGCUCUUUCUAAGGAGUUUGCAGUAAAGGGAGGAGAGACUUGGGGAGCCAGCUGCUGCAAGAACGAGUUUCAGUAGCUGGAUGCAACAGACUCAACCAUAGUCGGCAAACUGUCCAAAGGAGCCCAACAUGGCCAGGCCCCCAGGGUGCUGUGCACCGCUACUGUAAGGAGCAGAGUGCUGGAAAGGCCGGUUGGGGGAUCCUCCCUCUCUGGGAGAGACAGGAACUAUGGAUA